UACGGAGGGUGCGAGCGUUGUCCGGAAUCACUGGGCGUAAAGGGCGCGUAGGCGGCUGGGGAAGUCGGCGGUGAAAGCCCGGAGCUCAACUCCGGGUCGGCCGUCGAGACUCCUCGGCUCGAGCUCACUAGAGGCAGAUGGAAUUCCGGGUGUAGCGGUGGAAUGCGUAGAGAUCCGGAAGAACACCAGUGGCGAAGGCGGCCCGCUGGGCAGUGGCUGACGCUGAGGCGCGACAGCGUGGGGAGCAAACAGG
RNAcentral lists this ribosomal RNA (253 nucleotides) under uncultured bacterium. RNAcentral describes it as "partial 16S ribosomal RNA". It matches the Rfam family "Bacterial small subunit ribosomal RNA", at positions 524 to 776 of the family's 1533-position model. The record is from RNAcentral.